Pezoporus occidentalis (night parrot) is the source of this 5408-nucleotide long non-coding RNA. RefSeq lists it as uncharacterized. The record is from RefSeq and is a predicted model, not a curated record. Lineage: Eukaryota; Metazoa; Chordata; Aves; Psittaciformes; Psittacidae. The transcript is spliced from 2 exons.
AGCAGCCGGUGACAUCUCUGCUCCUCAGACAGGGACCAAGGUCCUGUGAGGCCCAUGCCGUAUACCAACACCUCAGUGGGACACACAGUCCCAAGGGCAGCUUUACUGUGCUUCUGAGCAGGGCAAGUUUUCACUGUGCCUCUGCAGCCCUGGAAAAGAAGGAAAGAGCCAAGAAGGAUGGCACAGGCGUGGGGCUGGCCAGGACCUGGUAAGAGCUUGCCCAUGGUGAGGGACGGCUGGUGGUGGCAGAUGCUUGUCCCCAGGGCUGGUGGCAGAGGCUUGUCCUUGGUGCCCAGAGCAAGUGGCUGUGCCUGGGGCACUCUGGUGUGAAUGCAAUGCCAACAGCCAGCCAGGCACCUGCUCUGGCAAAGCCAGGUCAAGAGUGUGAUAAGCACAAGCUCUGGCUGCAUCACACUGGUGAGGCGUGAGCCACAGAGGGGUUUUCCAGCUGCAGCCAGGCUCCAGCAAACACCUGGGCACUCGAGGUCAGGAGGCAUUUGCAACAUAAGCUUUUUGAAUCCAGGAGCGUGGCAAAGGUGUUUUUAAAGAGAGUGGCAAGGCUGAGAUCUCCAUGCAGAUCCCGAGCUGCUUGGAAGAUGAGUCAAAGGAUUCCUGGAACAAUUACAGCUGCGAGGUGCAGCAGCACUGAUGCAUCCACCAUCAGCAGCAGGGCCAGGCACCCUCGGCCAGCUGCUCGUGCUUUCUGUUUAAUAAGGCAUAUUAGGCAAUUUCCCAUUAAAAACAUUUAUGGGAAUAUAUAAAUAUUCACUUAUACAGAGCUUGCCUGCCCCUUUGCGCACAGAGUGGUGGAGAGAGUGACUUGAAUUCUUAUAAAUCUAUCAAGACAGCUUGCGAUGGAGCCUGCUGCAUGGCAAGGAGAUGGAUGUCCUGGAGCCCCAGUGGGGAUCGACAUCCUUCAGGCACCAGGAUGGGAGACCUUGCUCAGUGGGAUGAAGUGUUCUCUCCGAGCAGGACAAGGGCACCAUGGGAUGUGCGCCGUGUCUCCUGGUGCGCAGCUGCAGGCAGUGUGGGCAGGGUUUUCCCUCGUGUGAUUUCUCUGUGCUGGCCGCAGGAAGAGCACGCACAGGCCCGAUCUGGAUUAAAUCAAAGGAAUUUUUUUUUCUUCAUUUGCUGUCUUACGCACUGACCACCAAACCACAUCCUUCGAGCCCGAGCCCGGUGCACUGAAACAAAAACUAGGCCACGGCUUUUUGCUCUUGCCUUUCUUUUCUUUCUUUUUCUAUCUUUUCCCUUAGUGCAUCAGUUGGGUGCAAAGCUGGCACAUGGCUAUUCUCCAGCCCCUCCACUCCCCAUGGAGCCCAGUGUACCCCCAUGGGAUGGCCCUUUCCUAGGGCAGCCUGGUGUUUCCCCCACCCCAAGCAAAGCACUUUCAGCUCCAUGUAAAACCUGGGAACUAUGCAGAUUAUGUCCACUGAGCACUGCGUCAGUGGGGAGCAAAUAUAGAGGAAUAAUAAGAAAUGAUGCCCUGGCAGAUUGUGUCAUCAGGACCUAAUUAGUUGCAGUGCAGGGGUUGUACUCGGCUCUCACCCCAACUACAUUAAGCAGCCGAGUGUUUUACAGUCUGACACUGAGAUCAGAGCAAACUGAAGGGGACCCAUCAGCAAAGAGUCCCCCGUUGCUAGCAGGAGUUAUGGCUGUGGUGUGACGCCGGUUCCUGGGCAGCAUGGCCAGAGCAGGGCUUGCAUCAGUUGCGAUCUGCCUGCAUAGGGAAGUUCUCACGUUUACAGAACAGAGAGCAGCUUUAUUGUUUUAUUUUGCAAACCAAAACCAGCCGGGAGUUUCUGAAGUGUCUGCCAUCCCCGCAGAGAGCUGUUUAGUCAUGCCUGGUGUGUAUGCAUGUGAGACUCAGUGUAGGGGAGGGAGUCUCUAGGACUUUGCAAAGAUUAAAGAUUUAUGCUGACCCUUGAAUCUGAUCCAAGGCUAGUAAUCUGCCCUGAUCCUAUCAUCUGCUCAGGGUGGAUCUAUUUCACUUUCCUUUAUGGUACUCCUGACUCACUCGACUCCCACUCCAGGCCAGUCAAGUGGGAAUGGGAAGCACUACCACAUAUUUGUUUGGGUUUACAUUUAAAGCUCUGGACCUGUAGUGGGUGCAGCUCAUAAAGGAAACCAGUGUGGAUAAGAUAUGGGUGAGCUGAAUGCUUGGAAACCACUCCCAAAUACAAGCUGAAGUGGUUUGAAAUCAAGGUGGAGUGAUGUACAGAAGGCACAAUACUUGGCAGCUACACCCAACGUGUGAGAAAGGCAUUUAAAUCCAAGGUGGUAAGGUGGGCAGGGCAUCCAGUGUGCUUCUGAGGGAAGCAGCUUAUUGUCUUUCAGGGUCUGUAACCUCUCCAGUAGAGACCUGGGUACUGAAACCCUCCAUCUGCCCACCAGUGCUCUCCACUUUGCACCACGGGGCUGUGGGAAGCUGUGCUGAGGAUACUGCCUUCCCCCUGGCACUGCUCCACCUGGGAAAUAGCUUGCUUAUGCUCCAUCACCCCAUAGUGAAACACUCCUGAUGGCUGCUGAGGAUUUAGACUGAAAAACAAAAUACAGACCUGAUUUUGUGGAGGGCAGAGCAAAUCUCCUUUGCCCUUGUGAAAUAAAAAGAAGUGUGGCAGAAAGAGAAAUAGGAGCUUUCCAUCCCCCCACCCCAGCUCUCCUCUGCCUCAGCCACACGUGUCAGACUUGGUCUGGAGGAAGGCUGGGGUUGCCAGAGCAGCUUGGCCUGCGUGCCAGCCAAGCCGGGAUGCAUAACACCCACCAGGGCAUUGCCAGCGGUACCAGGGCCACAGGCAGAUAAGCAAACAGUAUCAGUCAUACGGACCUGGCCCGUGGCUGAACUGACCAGGAGAGGGAGAGCACGGUGUAUCCUAUUUCAGAUCCCCUGGGACAUCCUGUUCUCCUGAUAGCUGAUGAUAUGUAAAUAUAGCAAACGCAAAGCAAGGCACUUUGCUACCAUGCCUUACUCAGGCUGCAUACAGAAAGGGGCUGAAACCUAGCAGCGCAGUUGGGAACACCCAUCUGCAACUGUGAAAUAGGCAUCACGCUUUAUUUUUAGUUUAAAAUGAAGUUCCUGUUUGUAAGGCCAGAAGGGUUACAGGAAAAAAAAAAGAAUGAUGAAGCGGGAUCAUUUACUGCUAUUUUUCUUUACACGUGUCCUUCCUUCCUUCCUCCCUCCUGAGAAAUAGGAUGUAGCACAUCGCUAUUCCAGGCUGCAAUAUUCGCUCACAGGAAUGCUGGUUUCUGCUCCCUCCGAAGAGGCCCAUUAUGCCUUGUGUAACAAAAGACACCAGCCUCCCAACCACACCAAUUACCCUUGAUUUCUAGUCGCUACAUGACGGCGCUUAUCUCAUGUAAAUGAAACGCUGUCUUCACACUGACUCGCACUUCCUUUCUCUUUCAUCAGAGUUUUGGGCAGGGGUGAAAGGCAGGUCACGCAGUGGGACUGGGGAGCCCUCCCCAUCUGAUCGGCCCAAUCCCCCUCCUCCAGGAGCUGCUCAGCCCCAGCAGCCAUGGGGCACACCGAAACAACGGGAAGCAUUUGGUCAGGUCAGCCAAAUGAGCCUGUCUAACUAGCAAAGCCAAGCCCUAAUUAGCCUGGUGGCUAACUCCUUGACCCAGCUCCCAGGCCCUGCAUUUCUCCUGCAGGCAGGGGUCACCCAGACGCCAUGGAAGGAGAGCUGCAGGGGUGCAUUUUGGCAGGCACCCACACGUUUUAUUCCCUCCCGUGCCCCAGAAGGGAAAGUCAUGAAUUCUGCCAAAGAUGUGUGCUUGGAUAUGAGGUAUUUUUCUUCUUUUUCAUCCCUUUUACUAAUUUAAUUCCCAGACCUAAAUCAAAUUUUUCCAUCUCAGCCUUCCACAAGCUGGGAUGCAUUGUUUGCAGUUAUGAAACUGUUACAGCUUCCCUAUGCCCUGUAUUGCAUGUUGAGCUGUUGGAGAUGUUUACCUGGCUGCAAUAGCGAUGACCGAGUGAAGAGGAGGCCUCAAGGAUAGGCACUGGGCUGGUUUACGGUCAAAUGCAGACAAAGUUUUCUGAUGUGCUGGUGAGCAGCUCAUUACAUUGCUCCUGUCCUUAUUUUCCUCAUUAUUAAAAGAGGAUAAAGCCCAACCAAUUAUUGGGAUAUGCACAAAUAUGCCAUUGAUGAGGGGCCUGACAGAUUUUCUGAGGAGCCUUGAAGCAGCAAGGCUCAAAAGCCACAUGCUGGGCUCUCCCUUAUUUUUAUUCUUUGCUGUUUUCUUGGUUGUAGGAUAAGAGCUAAUCAGAGUGAUGCUCUCCAGCAGACUUUUGUGUAUGGCACUACAGUAAAAUCCUAAAUUUUCUUUCCUGCUCAUGCAUAUAGAGCAGGAAGAACUAGGAUGGCUGCAGACUAUUUCUAUUUUCAGAUGAUUUAGCCAAGGAAAAAACAUCUGGAUGGCUGAAAGAAUGAGCAUUUGAUAGAAAGUAAUCUUGAAGUGCCGCUCUCUGACAUGACAGCAUGCGAGGUGCUCGGCUUCCUGAGAUAACUGCGCUCCAUGAACUGCCAACAAGGAAUGUAACUUCCAAAGGACACAACAGGACAACAAAGACAACCAGAGCAUGCAGAAUCCAAUGCAAGUGAGACUGCAGAGCAGGCUAGGUGCUUCCUGAGGCACUCCCCUGCGUGCAUUUCUGAUCAAGAAAUGGUUUUAGCAUCAACAUACGUAGAGUUCCUUCCGUUCAGUUUAGGACUUCUACUAGGUGCAGAGGCAAUAAGUCCAGUAUAUGGUUGGUGUAACUCAGUGCAGCUCAACUGAUUUGGUUCAUGUGAGCAUGUUUGUACCUGUAGAUGUGUUGCUUCUUCCUCCACUAAAGCGAAGAUGUCAUCCGGGACUGGGCAGCUUCUCCACGCUGAUGCUGUAGGACCGCAGCAGAGAGUGAUACCUGAGCAUUCACAGCUCCUUGGGCAUCACUUCAUCGUAUCUGGUCUGCAGCUUGCAAGUGAAACUACAGCUCCUAGCACCUAAGAUAUGUAUUGGCUGGCUGCUUGCUACCUUUGGGCACAUCAUUUCUCCCAUCUCUGCCUCAGCUUCCCCGACUGCACAAUGCCUUAUGAAGUAUGAAGGACUUUGAAUUUCACUGAUUAAAAAUCAUUAAAUGAGACUAUCUUGGCCUUCUAGCUUGAUGUAUGUUACCAGCCACUGUGGCUGGGAAUAAAUAUUCCUCUGUUCUCCCAUUUCAAAGUGAUACCCAGUUCCCAGGAUUAUCCUCCUCCCUUGUCCAUGACAACACUGGGAAAAAAAACCCAAGACGUUCCCACUGUGGUGGCUGGGGCUGACACGUGGACAUUGUGUCUCUGUUUGUGUUAAUUCGUCUCUUGUUAACAGUUCAUGGCUGAUCAAAUCCCUUGCAUUGGAUUUAUUACAUGUAAUAAAAGAGAUUUACUGGA